CAGAUGUGAAGAAUUUGACUGCUGACUGAUUGUGUAUGUGUGUGUGUCUGUUUCAUCAGGAGAGGAGGCUACUGAGCUGUAAAAUGCGCUCAUCCUGGGAGUUGCCUAUUGAGCUACAUAACCUAGAGGACAAUAAUUACAAAAGUACCACAAAAAAUUGGAACUCGAAGGUGAUUCCCCAGAAUGAAACUCUGCCAGUGUCUUCACCGAAUGCAAAAGUAAAGGCGCCUCUGCCAGUAGCAACAAGACAUUGUCCUCAGAUUGGAUGUUGUAGGGAUACUGGCAAAAGUUCAGUCCAAUCCAAUAACUCCUGCAGUGAUCAUGGUUUCGCUCAGAUUAAUGGACAUCCCGGAGUUCCCUGGAGAUGGACCCCUACAUCUUUAAGGUCCCCAUGUGUUUCCCCCACAAUGAUAUUUCAGAGUAACCCACAAAACAACGCUGGCAAUCAGGUAAAAUAUCAACUGUCUGCGGGAAGGAGCUGUUGCCAACUUCUGCAAGAAAGACGGGAGGCCAUUGUUCGCUGCAUGACUGAGGGGCGACUCAACAACGUACUUGACGUGUUGCGGGCCAGACAGGCUGUGACCCGCGAGACGUAUGAGAUCAUCACUACGGCCCUGACCUUGACCGCACGCACGCGCUGUUUGCUUGAUAUCUGUGCCUGCCUUGGUGAAAAUGUUGCUAUCUUGGUGGCCACGACUUUAGGUUUAGUAUCCACUGAAAAUGCUCAGACCACCCAUAGAUGGCAGGCUGGUUAAAUUAUACCAGCAUGCUGCUACUGUUAUGCAAAGGCAAAAUGCCAUAACUGCACGUUAAACAAUUGAUAUCAGAUUGAUAUAAGAUUUGUAUGGCACUGUAAUGUGUCAUUAAUAUGUUGAGAUGGCUAGUGUGUUCUUGUUUGGACUGCUGUAUAACAGAAGAAGAGAGGUCAGACUCUCUGGAAGGGUAUGCUGCAAUGCAGUUUUAGUCUUGGAUCUAAAAAUCUCAUCAAAUUAACAUUAUAAAGGGUACUGACGAUGUGAUUGUUAGCCAGUUCCCAAACUGAAGGGAUUAGUCAAAUACCUUUGAACAUGAUGAUGUUCAGAUUAAUGGGCAAUUACAGGUUUGAUAACAUUCCUUUGUUUGUGGAGAGAAAAAAAGACAACAGCAUAGAAACAGAUUAUUUUGAAAAGAACUUUUAGGAAAGAUGAGGCUGUUUCUCUUAAUCAUGCUCACUUAACAGUGUUUGCUGUCAGCUUUCACGCACAGCUUCUGUUAAUACUGAAACUGUUGACUGAGAAGUUCACAGCCUAUUAUAUCAUAUUCAUUUGACAGACUCACUCAUCAAAUAAAUAUUUCUUACUAUAACUAAAUGAAUCUUGUGUGUACUACACAUUCCAAGGAUGCAUGUUGGAUCUAAAAAUCUCAUCAAAUUAACAUUAUAAAGGGUACUGACGAUGUGAUUGUUAGCCAGUUCCCAAACUGAAGGGAUUAGUCAAAUACCUUUGAACAUGAUGAUGUUCAGAUUAAUGGGCAAUUACAGGUUUGAUAACAUUCCUUUGUUUGUGGAGAGAAAAAAAGACAACAGCAUAGAAACAGAUUAUUUUGAAAAGAACUUUUAGGAAAGAUGAGGCUGUUUCUCUUAAUCAUGCUCACUUAACAGUGUUUGCUGUCAGCUUUCACGCACAGCUUCUGUUAAUACUGAAACUGUUGACUGAGAAGUUCACAGCCUAUUAUAUCAUAUUCAUUUGACAGACUCACUCAUCAAAUAAAUAUUUCUUACAAAUAUUUCUUACUAUAACUAAAUGAAUCUUGUGUGUACUACACAUUCCAAGGAUGCAUGUUUUGUUUUUUUAUCUAUAAGACUUACAAUCGUGCAUGUUGCACAAUAGACUCAGUAGUUUCUGAUUGUAGUGUAUCUUGCAACAAGACAUUAUUUUUUAUUCCCUGUGUACAGUUUGUAGCAUGGCAUGUAUAAAGCAAAAAAAAAGAAGAAAGAUGUAUGGACAAAAUAAACAUGGUAUAAGAAAUGUAAUUAAAUGAUGUUAUAUAAUAUGUUGUCUUUACCACAGUUUAACAGUAUGUGUCCCUUCAGCGUUUGACUGAGCUCUUACGUAAGAUCCACUUCUUGGAGAACAGCUAUUACUUGGUAUUACUCAGGUCAAUACCAUGCCACAUACCUCCUCACAG
This 2166-nucleotide long non-coding RNA is filed under the name Sinocyclocheilus grahami. RNAcentral describes it as "lncRNA (ENSSGRG00000021958.1)". The record is from RNAcentral. Lineage: Eukaryota; Metazoa; Chordata; Actinopteri; Cypriniformes; Cyprinidae.